RNAcentral lists this ribosomal RNA (465 nucleotides) under Vreelandella stevensii. RNAcentral describes it as "partial 16S ribosomal RNA". It matches the Rfam family "Bacterial small subunit ribosomal RNA", at positions 338 to 795 of the family's 1533-position model. Lineage: Bacteria; Pseudomonadati; Pseudomonadota; Gammaproteobacteria; Oceanospirillales; Halomonadaceae. The record is from RNAcentral.
CCUACGGGGGGCUGCAGUGGGGAAUAUUGGACAAUGGGGGCAACCCUGAUCCAGCCAUGCCGCGUGUGUGAAGAAGGCCCUCGGGUUGUAAAGCACUUUCAGUGAGGAAGAACGCCUGGUGGUUAAUACCCAUCAGGAAAGACAUCACUCACAGAAGAAGCACCGGCUAACUCCGUGCCAGCAGCCGCGGUAAUACGGAGGGUGCGGGCGUUAAUCGGAAUUACUGGGCGUAAAGCGCGCGUAGGUGGCUUGAUAAGCCGGUUGUGAAAGCCCCGGGCUCAACCUGGGAACGGCAUCCGGAACUGUCAAGCUAGAGUGCAGGAGAGGAAGGUAGAAUUCCCGGUGUAGCGGUGAAAUGCGUAGAGCUCGGGAGGAAUACCAGUGGCGAAGGCGGCCUUCUGGACUGACACUGACACUGAGGUGCGAAAGCGUGGGUAGCAAACAGGAUUAGAUACCCUAGUAGUC